AUUGAACGCUGGCGGCAGGCCUAACGCAUGCAAGUCGAGCGGAUGAAGGGAGCUUGCUCCUGGAUUCAGCGGCGGACGGGUGAGUAAUGCCUAGGAAUCUGCCUGGUAGUGGGGGAUAACGUCCGGACACGGGCGCUAAUACCGCAUACGUCCUGAGGGAGAAAGUGGGGGAUCUUCGGACCUCACGCUAUCAGAUGAGCCUAGGUCGGAUUAGCUAGUUGGUGGGGUAAAGGCCUACCAAGGCGACGAUCCGUAACUGGUCUGAGAGGAUGAUCAGUCGCACUGGAACUGAGACACGGUCCAGACUCCUACGGGAGGCAGCAGUGGGGAAUAUUGGACAAUGGGCGAAAGCCUGAUCCAGCCAUGCCGCGUGUGUGAAGAAGGUCUUCGGAUUGUAAAGCACUUUAAGUUGGGAGGAAGGGCAGUAAGUUAAUACCUUGCUGUUUUGACGUUACCAACAGAAUAAGCACCGGCUAACUUCGUG
RNAcentral lists this ribosomal RNA (484 nucleotides) under uncultured bacterium. RNAcentral's name for it is "partial 16S ribosomal RNA". It matches the Rfam family "Bacterial small subunit ribosomal RNA", at positions 30 to 507 of the family's 1533-position model. The record is from RNAcentral.